Molecule: long non-coding RNA, 1959 nt
Organism: Sorghum bicolor (sorghum)
Lineage: Eukaryota; Viridiplantae; Streptophyta; Magnoliopsida; Poales; Poaceae
Exons: 5
Source: RefSeq, a predicted model, not a curated record
CUUGUAAAGUUUUGGGUUUUUGGGUGCAUCUAAACAAGACAGCUGAUGUGGCAAAGUUAAAUUUCAGUGUGGCAGGAUGUGGGUUCCUGAUUUGAAAUUUCAACUUCGUGUGGGUGCACCGCGCUGUAACGGUUUGCAUUACCCUCAAUUCGCAGAUAUCCACGUUCUAGAACUAGUAUCAGUACUUUCCUGGUUCCUUAGGUUGGAAGACGCUGAUGGAGUCUACACGCCCUGAUCUAACUAGAGCUUUGGUGUCGGUAUCCCAGGAUUUCCAUGUCCUAGAGGGUACCCAUACAUUCGGCGGACAGAGUAAUCGUAAUCAAAGUCUGGGCGUCCAACCGCUGGCAGGCGUUGUUCAAGAGGUGCUGAAUCACGGUGGACAGUUGGGUUGCUUGAAGAGGAAGAGGGGUAAGUAUGGCCCAGAAUCAAGGCUAUCACCAAUGGGGGAAAGUGCCAUUUCGAAGUCUAUGCGUACCGCAAUUGAUCAUCGGGGUGAGCCUGUCUUCAAGCCCGCAACAGGCAUGGAGUUCGAUUCUGAAAAGAGGCAAAAGACUUCUACAACCUUUACUCUUGGGAAAUUGGGUUUCGGAUUAGAAAAGGACGAGGCAGAGUAAAUGAUAAUGGAUACACUACGAGGCAGGAUUUUGUAUGCUCAUGCGAGGUGAUGUGCAAUAACUUAGAACUUAGUUAUAUACUCGUAUUUCUUCUUAGAUGUUAGUAGUAGAUUCUGAUUUUUUGUUUUUUUCGCCAAAGGGUCUGUGUCUGAAUAGUAUGGCUGCGACAUGCAGGACAGAUUGCAAGGCUAUGAUUAGGUUGCAUCGCACUAGUGAUCAUGGGUGGGUAAUUUCAAGUUUCGUGGCGGAGCACAACCAUCCAUGUUCUGGCACGUAUGGUCAGAAUAAACAGUGGCUUUCACAUAGUGACAUUGAUCCUAUGACCAAGGAUUUUGUCCGUAAGCUCCGUGAUAAUAAUAUCCCUAUAGGUAGGGUAUGCAGUAUACUUGGUGUGCAUGGUUCAGAGUCAGCAAUCCCUAUUCGUAAAGAGGCUGUAAGGUCGCUAUGUGCUCGAAUUGCUCAGGACAACAUUAAGGACGAUAUAGGGAAGACUAUGAGUCUGCUUGAUAAUAUGAAAACCAAUGAUGUGGGAAUGGAAAUUCGUUUUAAACUUGACGACGAUGAGAAAAUCAAGUCCAUGCUGUGGUGUACUGGCAAAAACAGAGCUGACUAUGCUAAGUUUGGUGAUGUGGUCACUUUUGACACUACAUAUCGAACGAAUCUAUAUAAUCUACCUUUUGGCCUUUUUGUUGGCGUUAACAACCACUUUCAGACUUUGAGUGGGCUUUCACCAAGUUCACAGAAAUAAUGGUUGGCAAGGUUCCUUUGACUAUACUCACAGAUCAGUGCCAAGCAAUGGCUGCAGCUAUUAAAUCUGUGUUCCCUACAUCGAACCAUAGGUGGUGCAUGUUCUGAGGAAGAUCAAGCAGAAAGUUGGGCCUGCAUACAGCAAGAAAAGUAAUUUUAAGAAAGAAUUCAACAAACUCGUCACCGAAGAAACUGUGGUCAAUCAUUUUGAAAGGAGGUGGAGACAGUUAAUCCGAAAAUACAAUCUUACUGAUCAGGAUAUUCAAGCACCGUGCCAAGUGGGCAAAGCCAUACUUUAUGGGUAUUUUCUGCGCUGGGAUGACUAGUACCCAAAGGAGUGAAAGUGCAAAUCACAUGUUGAAGCAGUUCAUUCAGAGGUUGGCGCCUAUGCAUAUGUUUGUUCGUAAAUUCAAUGAGUUCCAGAUGGACCGUUGCGACCAUGAAGAUAAGGAGGCUCAUGUCACUAAACAGUUUUAUCGGAAGCACCGUGUUGAUGUGCUUAGGCCAGUCUCAAUGUAAGUUUCAUGACACAGUUACCAAGACUGGAAACUAGGUAACCGAGCCACAUGAGUUUCAUGGGGAUUAAACUCCUCUCUCA